GGGUCAGGCCCGGAAGACCGUAUCGGGCCUUGCAAGCCGGAGGUCGCCGGUUCGAUCCCGGCACGCUCCA
This 70-nucleotide transfer RNA is filed under the name Actinomycetota bacterium. Its description in RNAcentral is "tRNA-Ala". Lineage: Bacteria; Bacillati; Actinomycetota. The record is from RNAcentral.